UACAUGGAUUAUAGGUACCGACAUGGUUGUCCAAUAAUUUUUUUUUUCAAUUGAACAGUUGAUUUGACGAAAGGGAAGAGGAAAGUAGAUGAAUCAUUUGCCUCUUCAAAAAGAGGAAAGCAACGAUGAAUCAAGCCAAAUCUAUUUGCACGAUAACACGAAGCCAUAUUAUGUUUCGACAUCGCCUCAACAAACCUGAUUUGGUUGAUUGUGGGAUUUUUGUCUUGUAUAUGGCAAGGCAGUUGUGCAUGCAACAACCAUUAGUGAGAAAACUGCAGCAAGUGUGAUAUCGCACUCGAAAAACUUUUAAUUAUCAGUUCUUGAACGACGAGGAUACCGUUG
RNAcentral lists this long non-coding RNA (342 nucleotides) under Erythranthe guttata (spotted monkey flower). RNAcentral's name for it is "long non-coding RNA (EGUT_LNC001660)". The record is from RNAcentral. Lineage: Eukaryota; Viridiplantae; Streptophyta; Magnoliopsida; Lamiales; Phrymaceae.